GACGAACGCUGGCGGCGUGCCUAAUACAUGCAAGUCGAACGCAGUGGGGACGGGUUCGUAACACGUGGGUAACCUCCCAUCAGAGGGGAUAACACUUGGACACAGGUGCUAAACCGAUCCUACCGGAUGGACCCGCGGUGCAUUAGCUAGUUGGUGAGGUAACGGCCCACCAAGGCCACGCUGCAUAGCCGACCUGAGAGGGUGAUAGGCCACACUGGGACUGAGAACCGGCCCAGACUCCUACGGGAGGCAGCAGGAGGGAAUCUUCGGCAAUGGACGAAAGUCUGACCGAGCAACGCCGAGUGAGUGAAGAAGGUUUUCGGAUCGUAAAACUCUGUUGUGAGAGAAGCGGUAUCUAACCAGAAAGCCACGGCUAACUACGUGCCAGCCGCCGCGGUAAUUC
RNAcentral lists this ribosomal RNA (403 nucleotides) under uncultured bacterium. RNAcentral describes it as "partial 16S ribosomal RNA". It matches the Rfam family "Bacterial small subunit ribosomal RNA", at positions 28 to 526 of the family's 1533-position model. The record is from RNAcentral.